This 531-nucleotide long non-coding RNA is filed under the name Salmo salar (Atlantic salmon). Its description in RNAcentral is "lncRNA (ENSSSAG00000093677.1, ENSSSAG00000096607.1)". The record is from RNAcentral. Lineage: Eukaryota; Metazoa; Chordata; Actinopteri; Salmoniformes; Salmonidae.
GUAAAUUGCAUUAAGAUCACUAAUAUUAGGACAAAUACAAUUUAUAGGGCGUCAGGUAGCCUAGUGGUUAGAGUGUAGAGGUGGCAGGUAGCCUUGUGGUUGGGGCAGCAGGUAGCCUAGUGGUUAGAGUGUAGAGGUGGCAGGUAGCCUAGUGGUUGGGGCAGCAGGUAGCCUAGUGGUUGGGGCAGCAGGUAGUCUAGUGGUUAGAGUGUAGAGGUGGCAGGUAGCCUAGUGGUUGGGGCAGCAGGUAGCCUAGUGGUUAGAGUGUAGAGGUGGCAGGUAGCCUAGUGGUUGGGGCAGCAGGUAGCCUAGUGGUUAGAGUGUAGAGGUGGCAGGUAGCCUAGUGGUUGGGGCGGCAGGUAGCCUAGUGGUUAGAGUGCAGAGGCGGCAGGUAGCCUAGUGGUUAGAGUGUAGAGGUGGCAGGUAGCCUAGUGGUUGGGGCGGCAGGUAGCCUAGUGGUUAGAGUGUAGAGGUGGCAGGUAGCCUAGUGGUUGGGGCGGCAGGUAGCCUAGUGGUUAGAGUGUAGAGGUG